UUAAAGUUUGAUUCUUGCUUGAACUUUUAUUUUAUAAUUAAGGUAUAUGUGUAUCUUGGUGGGAAAGAAGUAAGUAUAAUAGAGAUAAUUUAUAAUAAGUCGUAGUUUUGUUAUUCGCAGUAUGGAAGAUUAAAUAUUGGUUUAGGGUCCGAUUUAGUAAAUUAUAAAAAGUUUGAUGAAAUUUUGUGCCAGCAAUCGCGGUUAGACUUAAAAGCUUAGUAAAGGUGUUUUAGUUUAGGUUAUUCUUAUGUUUAAAGGUAAAUUGAAAUUUAUAGUAAUAAAAGGUGAAAUUGGUUUAUUAGGAAUAAAUGGAAGUUGGAUUAUAAAUAGGAGGAGACUCGGAAAUUAAGGUAUAAACUAGGAUUAGAUACCCUAUUAUACUUAAAAGAUAAAAAUAAAACUUGAAUAUUAAUAGAUAUGGUCUUUAAAUUCAAAGAAUUUGGCGGUAUUUUAGUCUUGUUAGAGGAACCUGUUCUGUAAAUGAUACAACACGAAAAAAUCUUACUUACUCUUGUUUAGCAGUUUGUAUACCGUCAUUAUCAGAUAACCUUUGUUGAGGUAGUUAUUGAAAUUUGAGAAGUAAAGUAUAUUAGAUCAAGGUGCAGUUUAUGGGUAAGAAGAAAUGGGUUACAAUAAAAUUUAUUUAUUACGAAUCAGUAAAAGAAUAGUUUCUGUGAAGGGGGAUUUAAUUGUAAUACAUAAUUUAGUAAGUUAGUGUGAUAUGAGAACUAAAGUAUGUACAUAUCGCCCGUCGCUUCCGCUUAAGGUGGAAUAAGUCGUAACAUAGUAGGUGUACUGGAAGGUGUACCUGGAACUAA
Molecule: non-coding RNA, 818 nt
Filed under: Cherax quadricarinatus
Lineage: Eukaryota; Metazoa; Arthropoda; Malacostraca; Decapoda; Parastacidae
Source: RNAcentral